AGUUCUCCCUGAGACUUUAAGUCUCCUGAAGGAACGUUGAAGACGACGACGUUGAUAGGCCGGGUGUGUAAGCGCAGCGAUGCGUUGAGCUAACCGGUACUAAUGAACCGUGAGGCUUAACCUUACAACGCCGAAGCUGUU
This 141-nucleotide ribosomal RNA is filed under the name Salmonella enterica. Its description in RNAcentral is "partial 23S ribosomal RNA". The stretch from base 1 to 124 matches the Rfam family "Bacterial large subunit ribosomal RNA", at positions 2807 to 2925 of the family's 2925-position model. RNAcentral also lists the same sequence under 4 other names. Lineage: Bacteria; Pseudomonadati; Pseudomonadota; Gammaproteobacteria; Enterobacterales; Enterobacteriaceae. The record is from RNAcentral.